This 253-nucleotide ribosomal RNA is filed under the name uncultured bacterium. RNAcentral describes it as "partial 16S ribosomal RNA". It matches the Rfam family "Bacterial small subunit ribosomal RNA", at positions 524 to 776 of the family's 1533-position model. The record is from RNAcentral.
UACGUAGGGGGCAAGCGUUAUCCGGAUUUACUGGGUGUAAAGGGAGCGUAGGCGGCUUAGUAAGUCAGAAGUGAAAGCCCGCAGCUCAACUGCGGGACUGCUUUUGAAACUGCCAAGCUAGAGUACGGCAGAGGCAAGUGGAACUACAUGUGUAGCGGUAAAAUGCGUAAAUAUAUGUAAGAACACCGGUGGCGAAGGCGGCUUGCUGGGCCUGUACUGACAUUGAGGCACGAAAGCGUGGGGAGCAAACAGG